UCUACGCAGAACCUCAGUAGCCCCGCCCCCCAGCCAAUCGGCGGCGAACACUGCAGACCACACCCCCUCUUCAUUCAGCCGUCCAAUCAGGGAGCUCGAGCUCGGUGGAAGUAGACUCCGGAUUGUCAUCCCAUUUCACCGGAAUGCUGCUGAUUUAUGUGGAUUUGUUUUAUUUCCCCUGCAUCGGCUGGCUCUGAAUCCAGUAUUCUUUCCACUAUAUCAGAAGGUAUGGUUUGACUUUGAUUUUAGGGCUGAUCCUCAAUUACUAUUUAUGGAUUAGUUUCAGCUUUUGGCCUGGGUGUACUGAGUCUCCUCCUUCCAUUCAGUCCAAUUCAAUAAGCAUUGAUUAAUCACCUGCUAUGUAUAAAGGACUUACUGUGGUAGGCACUAGGCUAAAAUGACAAAAAUGAAUGAUUUUGCCUGAGUCAGGGUGAGAAGGGGGGAGGCAGGAACAAGAUAACAUGUGCACAGAUAAGUAUAUAUACAGUGUAAUUUCAGAGGGAAAAGGACAUUAAGAACUAGGGAGAGCAGUAAAGGCUGCCCACAGAAGAUGGCACCUGAGAUGAGGAGGGAAUGCAUUCUGGGCAUUAAAGACAGUUCAUAUAAAGGUAGAGAAGGGGAAGAUGGUUUGUCAAGUUCAUGAGAACAGCCAGUAGGCUGGUUUGGCUGGAACAUAGAGUUUGUGAAGGGGCUUAAUACAUAAGAUAUAAGGGGCUUAAUAUUCAUAAGGCAGGUCAGCUGGAGCUAGAUUUUGGAGGGCUUUAAAUACCAGGGAUGAGUUCAUCUGGAAGAAAAAAAGGUUAAGAAUAUCAAGGGAAUUAAUGAAAA
Long non-coding RNA from Vombatus ursinus (common wombat), 828 nucleotides. RefSeq lists it as uncharacterized. Lineage: Eukaryota; Metazoa; Chordata; Mammalia; Diprotodontia; Vombatidae. The transcript has 3 exons. The record is from RefSeq and is a predicted model, not a curated record.